UUUGAACUAUCACCUCUUUUGCUGUUUGCAAAUUGCUGGAUGUUUUCUCGGUGCGUUUGCUUUCUCUUAUGCCUGUAAAUCUUCUUUUUUCUUACGUCGAACUAUUUACAGUUAAUCGCUUGCGGCAUGAUCCAAUGCCCAUCUCUUGUGUGCCAUCUCCAGACAAUUAAGAUAACUUUGCGUAUAAAUUUGUAAAAUUUGGCUAUUACCGAAAUUAAAAUGCUGGUACGUUGCUAGUAGGAGUUACCCACCACCAUACCUAUUUGUUACCAGAAAGCCCACAAUUAUCGAAGGCAAUAUAGCCCAACAACAAAGAACUAAUUUGAACUCAGGAGGUUGAACGAGAGGCCUAGAGCUGAGAGCCCACUCAAUGAGAA
Molecule: long non-coding RNA, 377 nt
Organism: Arabidopsis thaliana (thale cress)
Lineage: Eukaryota; Viridiplantae; Streptophyta; Magnoliopsida; Brassicales; Brassicaceae
Product: other RNA
Exons: 1
Source: RefSeq